This 2815-nucleotide long non-coding RNA is filed under the name Gossypium barbadense (sea-island cotton). Its description in RNAcentral is "long non-coding RNA (GBAR_LNC021051)". The record is from RNAcentral. Lineage: Eukaryota; Viridiplantae; Streptophyta; Magnoliopsida; Malvales; Malvaceae.
AUUAUCGUAUUUAUUUUCAUCAAAAACUAUCUAAAAUAAUAUAAAAUAUUAUAUUAAUAAGAUUAAAAUUAAAAAAUAAAUAUUUUUUUAAAAAAAUUAAUUUUUAUUAAAUGGAAGCUUAGUCUGUGAUUCAUAAGGUCGUAUGAGAUCAUCGAGAGAAUUGGGCCAGUAGCUUACCGUUUAGCUUUACCGUAUGAAUUAGAGAAAAUUCACAACGUCUUUCAUGUAUCAAUGUUACGGAGAUAUCGAUCUGACCCUUCACACAUAAUUUCGCCUGUUGAUGUAGAAAUUCUGGUAGAUAUGUCCUAUAGUGAAGAACCAAUUAGAAUUGUAGCUCGAGAAGUCAAAUAGUAAACGAAUAGCUCUGGUUAAAGUUUUCUAGCAUCGUCAUGGGGUCGAGGAAACUACCUGGGAACGAGAAGAAGCUAUGAAAGUGUAAUACCUAAACCUAUUUUCUGGUAAAUUUUCAGGGACGAAAAUUCCUUUAGGGGGAGAGUUGUAAUGACCCAUUUAUAGUGGUGUCAAAAGCAAUGGUCUCGGGACCACGAUUUCGACAAGAGAGUAAAUAUUUUAUUAAUUAUUUAAAGCUUACGAGUGUUUAUUAAGGUAUUAUUAAAUUUUUGUUAAGAAAUUUUGAAGUUUAAACUAUUAAUUAGGUAAAAAAGAACUAAAUUGAAAAAGCUGCAAAAGUCUUCUUCUGUUAGUUAAGUGGAUUAAAUAGCUUUAACAAGGUGAGUUAAUGGACUUAUUUAGUAAUUAUGCUGUAUAUGUUUAUAGUGGACAAAUAUGGACAUGUUUAUGCUAGUAUUUAAGUUAUAUUAUCAGGGCAAAAGAGUAAUUAAUCAAAUAAUCAUGAAAUAAAUAAAACAAAAGCUGUCAUGUUCUUUCUCUUUUUCUUGUUUAACUAUAAACACCAUUGAAUGGGGGAUAAAAGCUUCAUUUUUCUUAAUUCACUUGCAUGGUAUGUAUUCAAGUCCAGUUUUUAGUAAUUUUUAUAUUUUGAGCUUUUUUUAGCUUAAACUACUUAGCUCGAGGAUUAAUUUGCAAAGCUGUUAAAGGUUAAAGGAAAUGUUAGGAAUGAAAUUGAUGAAUUUGUGAUGUUAAUUGAUAGGUUAUUACAUUUGGUUGUUAACUAAAUUUAUUUUGUUAAGUGAUUUUUUUAUAAAUUUAGUGUUGAAGAUUAAUUUGCUAAAAGUGUAAAAUUCCUUGAAAUUAUUUUGGGUAAAUAUGGGCUGAUUAGGUACUCUAGAAGAAUCAGUUAACACAUGUUGUCUAUGAAAAUAGUGAAUUUGCAAGUUAUGGUUAUAAUGACUAAGUUGUAAAAAAAUUAAAAUAGGAGGGGUAAUUUUGUAAUCUCAUGAUAAUAUGAAUUAUAGAUUGAAUUGAAUAUUUGAGGUUAUUUGAAGUACUUAAUUGAAUGAAGUUAUCUAUUUAGAUCAAAAGAAACCACAACUGGAUUUAAAUCGAGGAAACGCAAAAGCUUUGGAUUAGUCUCCAACUCUACCUUUGCGACUAUAGUUACCAACGCAAGUUCGUAUGAAUAUAAUUUUAUUAAUGAUACUUUAAUUGAUUAUUUGUUAUAUUAUAUUAGUUAUAAAUUGACUUGAAUAUAUAAAUAUAUUGACAUUUUGAAUAAUUGACAGAUAAAUAAUCUCGUUUGAACCUUAAGAAUUCGUAGGAUAUGAAUGACAUGUCAAUAAUAAUUUCAUGUUUCGGGUACUGGUCUUGAAUGUACUACCAAUGACUAAGGUCCUGCAUUUGUUGUGAAUUCUCCACAGCUCGUGUGAGCAGUAUCAUGUAGCUAAAAUUCUGACCCACAGCUGGUGUGAGCAGGCCCAUUUCACUGCUCGUGUGAGCACUAUUGAAAAUGAAAUGUUACGAUUAUAUGGAAAGGCACACUAUAUGUGAGCAUUCCCGAGUAUCCAAUAAAUUUCUAGAUGGUUCACAGGUAAGUAAAGGUUAAUGGCAAGGCAUGUAUUCAAAUGGAUAAUUAUUCAUAAUCUUAUCAAAGGUAAAUUUGAUGAAUGGUAUGUACAUGGAAAUUUACUUAUGAUAUGGUUGAACUUAUAUGUAUUAUGUAUUAACUUGCUAACUUGUGAGUUUGGUGGUGUAUAUAGGAGUUUAUUUAGCUUAUGAUCAUGGUAAUGAUGUUAUUCAUAUUUUAUAUAUUGAGCUUAAGAAGGGUAAGUUAUAUUUGAAUUUAUACGAGCUUACUAAGCACUAGUUGCUUACGUAGUUAUUUUCCUUUGUUUCGUAGAUUAUCGGAAACUUGAUCGGCUGGAAGCUUGUCAGAGUUCUAUCAACACUAUCCAGUAAUCUCUUUGGUAGUUCUUGAGUUAUUUUGGCCAAGGUUAUAAAUGGUAUAUUGGUUAGGAGAAAUAGGUUGAUUGAAUUGGUAGAUUUAUAUGUGUUUGAAGUGUGUUUAGGUUUAUUGAAGGUAUGUACUAAUGAAGUAGAUUUUUGGGCAAGUUGUGGGCUUUAAAUGGCUUGUUUUUGGGGGUUUGGGUGCCGAUUUUGGAGGAAGAAUUAAGAGAAAAAAAUUAAAAUUUAGGAGAAGAAUGGAAGGGGUGGGGGCGGCACAAAAAGAAGAUUGAGUAGAGGGAAUGAUUGUUGAUGAAAUAAGUGUGAAAAAGGGGUGUAUUUAUAGGGAUGGUGGGGGUUUAAGAGAUAGCAACAAAAAUUUAAAAGACUUUUUCAAAAUUAAUUACUAAAAGAUAAUCAAAAUUAAAAAUAUUAAAAUAAUUUAUAUUUACUAAUUAAAUAAAUAAAAUUAAUUCGACUCAAUAAUUAUCUCUAGCAAGAAAAUCCAAUUAAA